GGGAUAACGUAGCGAAAGUUGCGCUAUACCGCAUAUUCUGUGAGCAGGAAAGCAGGGGACCGCAAGGCCUUGCGCUCUUUGAGCGGCCGAUGUCAGAUUAGCUAGUUGGUGAGGUAAAGGCUUACCAAGGCGACGAUCUGUAGCGGGUCUGAGAGGAUGAUCCGCCACACUGGAACUGAGACACGGUCCAGACUCCUACGGGAGGCAGCAGUGGGGAAUUUUGGACAAUGGGGGCAACCCUGAUCCAGCCAUGCCGCGUGAGUGAAGAAGGCCUUCGGGUUGUAAAGCUCUUUCGGCCGGGAAGAAAUCGCAUGGGCCAAUACCCUGUGUGGAUGACGGUACCGGAAUAAGAAGCACCGGCUAACUACGUGCCAGCAGCCGCGGUAAUACGUAGGGUGCGAGCGUUAAUCGGAAUUACUGGGCGUAAAGCGUGCGCAGGCGGUUUUGUAAGACAGGCGUGAAAUCCCCGGGCUUAACCUGGGAACUGCGUUUGUGACUGCAAGGCUAGAGUACGGCAGAGGGGGGUGGAAUUCCACGUGUAGCAGUGAAAUGCGUAGAGAUGUGGAGGAACACCAAUGGCGAAGGCAGCCCCCUGGGUCGAUACUGACGCUCAUGCACGAAAGCGUGGGUAGCAAACAGGAUUAGAUACCCUGGUAGUCCACGCCCUAACUAUGUCAACUAGGUGUUGGGUGGGUAAAACCAUUUAGUACCGUAGCUAACGCGUGAAGUUGACCGCCUGGGGAGUACGGCCGCAAGGUUAAAACUCAAAGGAAUUGACGGGGACCCGCACAAGCGGUGGAUGAUGUGGAUUAAUUCGAUGCAACGCGAAAAACCUUACCUACCCUUGACAUGCCAGGAACUUGCCAGAGAUGGCUUGGUGCCCGAAAGGGAGCCUGGACACAGGUGCUGCAUGGCUGUCGUCAGCUCGUGUCGUGAGAUGUUGGGUUAAGUCCCGCAACGAGCGCAGCCCUUGUCGUUAAUUGCCAUCAUUUAGUUGGGCACUUUAACGAGACUGCCGGUGACAAACCGGAGGAAGGUGGGGAUGACGUCAAGUCCUCAUGGCCCUUAUGGGUAGGGCUUCACACGUCAUACAAUGGUCGGUACAAAGGGUUGCCAAGCCGCGAGGCGGAGCCAAUCCCAGAAAGCCGAUCGUAGUCCGGAUUGCAGGCUGCAACUCGCCUGCAUGAAGUCGGAAUCGCUAGUAAUCGUGGAUCAGCAUGUCACGGUGAAUACGUUCCCGGGUCUUGUACACACCGCCCGUCACACCAUGGGAGCGGGUUCCGCCAGAAGUAGGUAGCCUAACCGCAAGGGGGGCGCUUACCACGGCGGGGUUCGUGACUGGGGUGAAGUCGUAACAAGGUA
This 1362-nucleotide ribosomal RNA is filed under the name metagenome. RNAcentral describes it as "bacterial SSU rRNA". It matches the Rfam family "Bacterial small subunit ribosomal RNA", at positions 140 to 1498 of the family's 1533-position model. The record is from RNAcentral.